GGGUGAGAGAGAAACCAUCCAUAUCGUAAACCCUAACGUCCACCACCCGUCUAAAUGAGACGAGGCAUAAUAAGAGGGCUAGUUUGGCUGAAAGUUUUUCCAGUGACCAACAAGGAUUGUCCGGCCAUACACUAAGGAAUCUCAGUACCACAUCCACCUGCCAGAGGCGUGAAUACUUGGGUGCCGGGGUCUCGACAAUUCGGCACCCCGUAGUAGUCAACAAACCAGUGUAUCUUGACCUACUGGUCUGCCCUGU
Non-coding RNA from Pelobates cultripes (western spadefoot toad), 256 nucleotides. The record is from the annotation of a GenBank genome assembly. Lineage: Eukaryota; Metazoa; Chordata; Amphibia; Anura; Pelobatidae.